RNAcentral lists this ribosomal RNA (477 nucleotides) under uncultured bacterium. RNAcentral describes it as "bacterial SSU rRNA". It matches the Rfam family "Bacterial small subunit ribosomal RNA", at positions 328 to 793 of the family's 1533-position model. The record is from RNAcentral.
UCAGUCGACUCCUACGGGGAGGCAGCAGUGGGGAAUAUUGCACAAUGGGGGAAACCCUGAUGCAGCCAUGCCGCGUGUGUGAAGAAGGACCUUCGGGUUGUAAAGCACUUUCAGUAGGGAGGAAGGUAGUGUAGUUAACACCUGCACUAUUUGACGUUACCUACAGAAGAAGCACCGGCUAACUCCGUGCCAGCAGCCGCGGUAAUACGGAGGGUGCGAGCGUUAAUCGGAAUUACUGGGCGUAAAGCGCAUGCAGGCGGCCUGUUAAGUCAGAUGUGAAAGCCCGGGGCUUAACCUCGGAAUUGCAUUUGUAAACUGGCAGGCUAGAGUCUUGUAGAGGGGGGUAGGAAUUUCAGGUGUAGCGGUGAAAUGCGUAGAGAUCUGAAGGAAUACCAGUGGCGAAGGCGGCCCCCUGGACAAAGACUGACGCUCAGAUGCGAAAGCGUGGGGAGCAAACAGGAUUAGAUACCCUGGUAG